GAUGUUGUAUCCAGACCUCACCCAACCACACUUCUGUUCAUUCUCUUGCAAAAACUCUAUAUAUUCAACAGCCUGCAAUAGAAAAUGGUGUCAAGAAAACCAGCUUAAUUAAAUGGGUUGCAGCAUAUAAUCAAUAACCUUCUAGGUUUGUGCCUUGUUUGUUUUAUGAUACCCGGAACCAAGUUAUUUAUGUGCAUCUCUAGUUAGAACCCAACCGAAAUUAAUACAAUAUCUGAGGUGAAAAAAA
This 247-nucleotide long non-coding RNA is filed under the name Hordeum vulgare. Its description in RNAcentral is "long non-coding RNA (HVUL_LNC001391)". The record is from RNAcentral. Lineage: Eukaryota; Viridiplantae; Streptophyta; Magnoliopsida; Poales; Poaceae.